GCCGAGCGUGGUGGCGCAUGCCUGUAAUCCCAGUGGCUUGGGAGACUGAGGCAGGAGGUUUGCAGUUCAAAGCCAGCCUCAGCAAAAGUGAGGUUGAGGUGCUAAGCAACUCAGUGAGACCCUGUUUCUA
RNAcentral lists this small RNA (130 nucleotides) under Marmota monax (woodchuck). The record is from RNAcentral. Lineage: Eukaryota; Metazoa; Chordata; Mammalia; Rodentia; Sciuridae.